RNAcentral lists this transfer RNA (77 nucleotides) under Escherichia phage VpaE1_ev108. RNAcentral describes it as "tRNA-Arg". Lineage: Duplodnaviria; Heunggongvirae; Uroviricota; Caudoviricetes; Andersonviridae. The record is from RNAcentral.
UGGCACACCCUACAGGAUUCGAACCUGUAACUCAAUGAUUAGAAGUCAUUUGCUCUGUCCAGUUGAACUAAGGGUGC